CCUAUGCCCCCUCCCCCUAUUUUCUUUUGCAGAUACCCAGAUGGAAAAUGCUCCCCCCCCCCAUUAUUUUCACAAUUCAGUGGGAUGACGAAUGACACAGCCAUCCAAGCAGAGAACCAAUGUUCCAUCUCUUUACCUGAGUUCCAAGGGAAGAGACUACGUGGAUAGAAUUCUGUAUCGGCAACUACAGCUGCAUCUUCUUAGAGAUAAUGAAGGACAGUUCUAGAACACAUCACUGAAACUCUUCUCAAUGGAUGCAACCUUGAUAUGGAAGCAAUGGGCACCCUCACACAGUUCAGCUAGAAAG
Mustela lutreola (European mink) is the source of this 307-nucleotide long non-coding RNA. RefSeq lists it as uncharacterized. The record is from RefSeq and is a predicted model, not a curated record. Lineage: Eukaryota; Metazoa; Chordata; Mammalia; Carnivora; Mustelidae. The transcript has 3 exons.